This 84-nucleotide transfer RNA is filed under the name Candidatus Nanoarchaeia archaeon. Its description in RNAcentral is "tRNA-Ser". It matches the Rfam family "tRNA". Rfam says of the family: Transfer RNA (tRNA) molecules are approximately 80 nucleotides in length. Their secondary structure includes four short double-helical elements and three loops (D, anti-codon, and T loops). The record is from RNAcentral. Lineage: Archaea; Nanobdellati; Nanobdellota; Candidatus Nanoarchaeia. RNAcentral also lists the same sequence under 1 other name.
GCCAGGUUGGCUGAGCGGUUAAAGCGCUAGCCUCGAAAGCUAGUGGAGCUUUGCUCCUCGCAGGUUCGAAUCCUGCACCUGGCG